Molecule: ribosomal RNA, 229 nt
Filed under: Streptococcus pneumoniae
Lineage: Bacteria; Bacillati; Bacillota; Bacilli; Lactobacillales; Streptococcaceae
Description: partial 16S ribosomal RNA
Rfam family: Bacterial small subunit ribosomal RNA
Source: RNAcentral
UUUUAAUGAGAGUUUGAUCCUGGCUCAGGACGAACGCUGGCGGCGUGCCUAAUACAUGCAAGUAGAACGCUGAAGGAGGAGCUUGCUUCUCUGGAUGAGUUGCGAACGGGUGAGUAACGCGUAGGUAACCUGCCUGGUAGCGGGGGAUAACUAUUGGAAACGAUAGCUAAUACCGCAUAAGAGUGGAUGUUGCAUGACAUUUGCUUAAAAGGUGCACUUGCAUCACUAC